AUGCAGCGAUGCCGCGUGAGUGAAGAAGGCCUUUGGGUUGUAAAGCUCUUUCGUCGGGGAAGAAAAUGACUGUACCCGAAUAAGAAGGUCCGGCUAACUUCGUGCCAGCAGCCGCGGUAAUACGAAGGGACCUAGCGUAGUUCGGAAUUACUGGGCUUAAAGAGCACGUAGGUGGUUAGAAAAGUUGGUGGUGAAAGCCCAAGGCUCAACCUUGGAAUUGCCACCAAAACUUUUUAACUAGAGUAUGAUAGAGGAAAGCAGAAUUUCUAGUGUAGAGGUGAAAUUCGUAGAUAUUAGAAAGAAUACCAAUUGCGAAGGCAGCUUUCUGGAUCAUUACUGACACUGAGGAACGAAAGCAUGGGUAGCGAAGAGGAUUAGAUACCCUCGUAGUCCAUGCCGUAAACGAUGUGUGUUAGAUGUUGGAAAUUUAUUUUCAGUAUCGCAGCGAAAGCGAUAAACACACCGCCUGGGGAGUACGACCGCAAGGUUAAAACUCAAAUGAAUUGACGGGGACCCGCACAAGUAGUGGAGCAUGUGGUUUAAUUCGAAGAUACGCGCAGAACCUUACCAACACUUGACAUGUUCGUCGCGACUUUAAGAGAUUAAAGUUUUCGGUUCGGCCGGACGAAACACAGGUGCUGCAUGGCUGUCGUCAGCUCGUGUCGUGAGAUGUUGGGUUAAGUCCCGCAACGAGCGCAACCCUUACUUUUAGUUGCUACCAUUUAGUUGGGCACUCUAAAAGAACUGCCAGUGAUAAGCUGGAGGAAGGCGGGGAUGACGUCAAGUCCUCAUGGCCCUUACGUGUUGGGCUACACACGUGCUACAAUGGUACUUACAGUGAGAUGCGAAGAGGCGACUCUAAGCUAAUCCCAAAAAGGUACCUCAGUUCGGAUUGUACUCUGCAACUCGAGUACAUGAAGCUGGAAUUACUAGUAAUCGCGGAUCAGCGCGCCGCGGUGAAUACGUUCCCGGGUCUUGUACACACCGCCCGUCACACCAUGGAAGUUGGUUACACCUUAAGGCAAAGCGUAAAACCUUUGACUACGGUACGAUCAGCGACUGGGGUGAAGUCGUAACAAGGUAACC
Molecule: ribosomal RNA, 1086 nt
Filed under: uncultured bacterium
Lineage: Bacteria
Description: bacterial SSU rRNA
Rfam family: Bacterial small subunit ribosomal RNA
Source: RNAcentral